UAGGCGUCAUAACCAAAAUAUGUAAUUUCUGACAACCUUCCGCAUUGUCCGCGACCGGUCAAAUUCCAUCCUCUUUCCCGUCCACAGGGGCAUUCCCGCAAUUACAAUUCAGAACCAACGGCCAGUUUGUAUCGUACACCGGCCGCCACAAAAACCCUAGAUACUCACAAUUUUGACUUUCCCUCUCACUCCGCUUCUCUUGUCAGAGUCUGAGGAUGAAUGAAGGAUUUAAGGCACGCUGAUCGUCGCUCCCAAUUCUGCUUCUUCGCCAUUUCAUUGGUUCCGAAGCUUUUUAGGUUUUCCAAUUUCCAAUUUUUGUUCCUCAGAAAAGCCCCUUUUGCUUAUCUCUCGAUUACUUGAUCGCCAUGUCCAAAAGGGUUCUCUGCAAGUUUUUUGCACAUGGCGCCUGUUUGAAAGGGGAGCAUUGUGAGUUUUCACAUGAUUGGAAGGCUUCACCAAAUAAUAUAUGUACCUUUUAUCUGAAAGGAGCUUGUGCAUUUGGUAGUAGAUGCAGAUAUGAACAUGUCAAAGCUUCUCGGGCUCAGUCUUUCGGUUCGUCUUCAUCAACAAAUUCUCAGCCAUCCCUGGUUAUUGAUACUGCAUCUUUGGUUCUUCCUGCAAGAACGUUAGCAAGUGGAGUUUCUCUUGCGCCACUCUCUCUUUCAGAACUCUCUGCUUCAAGUAGUCCUUUCUUACCUCCCUCAAAACCUGCCUGGAAUGGUUCUCUGGAUGGUGAUUAUGAUGAUGAUGAAGGUAGUGUUGGGGAGACUAGGAAUACUAGACCAGAAGAUCGUGCUAUUUGUUCAUUUGCUGCAGCUGGUAAUUGUCCUCGUGGAGAAAAAUGUCCUCAUAUUCAUGGAGAUAUAUGCCCCAGCUGUGGAAAACAUUGCUUGCAUCCUUACAGACAUUUGGAAAGGGAGGAGCAUAUGAAGAUAUGUAAGGAAAAGCAGAAGCAACUUGAGGCUUUGAAAUGCAGUCAAGAAAUAGAAUGCAGUGUUUGCCUUGAACGUGUUUUGUCAAAGCCCACAGUUGCUGAGCGGAAGUUUGGGAUACUCUCAGAAUGUGAUCAUCCUUUUUGCAUAUCUUGUAUUAGAAAUUGGCGCAGUAGUUCCCCAACAUCUGGUAUGGAUGUCAAUAGCGCAUUGAGAGCUUGUCCAAUAUGUCGGAAGCUGUCAUACUUUGUCAUUCCAAGUGUCAUUUGGUAUAAGUCAAAAGAAGAGAAACAGGAAAUUGUUGACAGCUACAAAGCAAGGCUCAGGUCAAUUGAUUGCAAGCACUUCGAUUUUGGAAAUGGGAACUGCCCAUUUGGAACUAGUUGUUUUUAUAAGCAUGCAUACCGAGAUGGCCGUUUGGAGGAAGUAGCACUGCGUCAUAUUGGAAAUGAAGAUGGUCAGACAGUGAUAGCCACAAAUAUUAGGUUGUCAGACUUUCUUGCUGACCUACACAUAAGGUGAAUAAUGCCGUUACAAUAUUCCAAUUGAAAAAGUGCCGUGUGCUUAAAUGUGCAUGAUUUUUUCGCAACAAGAACACAUGCGCAGCUCUCAUGCUGGUUUUUGCAAUUGCAAGUAGGAUACUCGAGUGGAUUGCAAGAAUUGAUUGCAGGAUGGCUAUCCAGUUGUGGGAGAGAAGACAUGCUCGGUUGUCGUAAACUACAUGUAACAGAAUUCUAAAUAAAGUUAUUACCGAGCGGAAGAGUGUAUGUUGAGGAUUUUGACACUUAUACAAUGUGCCCGUCUGUGACUUGGAUGAAUGUCUACAGAUGAGGAUGUCGAUUAUUUGUGUUAAUGAUCAGGUUUUAUUCGGACGA
RNA transcript from Pyrus x bretschneideri (Chinese white pear), 1807 nucleotides. It is a transcript of the gene named putative RING-type E3 ubiquitin transferase C3H69, with no coding region annotated. The record is from RefSeq and is a predicted model, not a curated record. NCBI's taxonomy places the organism in Eukaryota, Viridiplantae, Streptophyta, Magnoliopsida, Rosales, Rosaceae. The transcript is spliced from 8 exons.